AAACUUAUGUUGAGAUAAUGUGGUGGUGAAAGUAUGUUUGAUUUAUUAUAUCCGAAAUCAUAUUAUAAAAAUUGACUUAAAUGAUUUGAUUUAAUUUUUAGGAGCGAACGCGAUGGUCUUGAAGUUGUUAGAAAUCCAAAGAGGCCUAUCGGCGCUUGGAUACAUUACUAUAACGAUCAAUUAGCCAUGAUGAAAGAGAAGGAUAAAGGAGUGAAGAUAAAUGAUGAUUUGAGGAAAAAAUUGGGCAAGAAGUGGAAUGCACUUUCAAAAGUAGAAAAAGAAAAUUUC
Molecule: long non-coding RNA, 288 nt
Organism: Vitis vinifera (wine grape)
Lineage: Eukaryota; Viridiplantae; Streptophyta; Magnoliopsida; Vitales; Vitaceae
Exons: 3
Source: RefSeq, a predicted model, not a curated record